RNAcentral lists this ribosomal RNA (301 nucleotides) under uncultured bacterium. RNAcentral describes it as "partial 16S ribosomal RNA". It matches the Rfam family "Bacterial small subunit ribosomal RNA", at positions 509 to 808 of the family's 1533-position model. The record is from RNAcentral.
CAGCAGCCACGGGAAUACGUAGGUGGCAAGCGUUGUCCGGAAUUAUUGGGCGUAAAGGGCUCGCAGGCGGUUUCUUAAGUCUGAUGUGAAAGCCCCCGGCUCAACCGGGGAGGGUCAUUGGAAACUGGGAAACUUGAGUGCAGAAGAGGAGAGUGGAAUUCCACGUGUAGCGGUGAAAUGCGUAGAGAUGUGGAGGAACACCAGUGGCGAAGGCGACUCUCUGGUCUGUAACUGACGCUGAGGAGCGAAAGCGUGGGGAGCGAACAGGAUUAGAUACCCUGUAGUCCCUGUCUCUUAUACA